This 4944-nucleotide long non-coding RNA is filed under the name Xyrichtys novacula (pearly razorfish). Lineage: Eukaryota; Metazoa; Chordata; Actinopteri; Labriformes; Labridae. The record is from RNAcentral.
AAGAUUGUCCUAGACAGGAAGUCAAGCACAAAAACUGUGCAUGUCAUCCGGUAUUUCAAAAUAAAACACCAUAUGCGGACCCUGCCUGUGUAUCAGUUCAUGUAGAAGAGAAAUACUUCCUGGUUUUGGAUUUAUCAGUAACAGACCAAUCCGAUGAUGAAUCCCUAAUCCAUGUGGACCCCAACAGGACUUUAACUGCUAACUCUCUCUGAAGGUAACAGCACAGCAUAAAGGAACUUUAUUACUUUAUUAAACACGAGUAAACCUGCAAAAACCAAAACUGUAAAAUCACGUUUCUUUUCACAUAUUGUAGAGGCUCAAUGGUCACUGAAUAAUAUCCAAAUUAGCAGGAAAUAGAGAGAGGCAAAACAACCUGUUGCUAGUAUGUUGUCUCCUCUAAACUGAGCCCAGCUGACCGGGGCUGCAGUACGCUGCUGCCACGCUCCAAAUAUGCAUCCUGUAUGCAAUACCCAAUGCUGCUCUAUGGAGCAAAUACAGAAUGUGCUUAAUACGGACCCUGUAUGUUUUCGGCUUGAGAGACUUGGCCUUUCAACAAUACGUUUUCUAUAACCAGAAUUUUUUACUUACCUGUUGCAAAGGAAUGUAAACUAUAUCUAUAUCUGUGUUUAUAUUUUUGUAUAUCCGUAUCUAAUCUAUAUCUGAGAGAUAUCCCUCCAUAUUAUUAUUAUUAUUAUUAUUUUCAUUACAUAGCCUUUUCAACAUUCAACAGUUUCAACAUUCAAUCUGUUGUCCUUCUAGUAAUUCUUAAUUCAAAUUAGGCUGCAAAUAAUUUGCAAACCAUCAGGAUUUGUCUUUAUCAACAUUUACAUAGUGUCCCAAGAGUAAUGGAGUUGGCAUGAAAAUCUUAAAGCUGGUGGACAAAGUGAUACCUCUUCUACAUCUUCUACUUCAUCUACUGUCAGGUUUUAAGUAAUGUCAAAGAUGUUUUUUUAAUGCUUCUGAAUGUCAUUAAGAGGCGUCAGUGUAAGUUUUGGCCUGUUUUUUAACAUGAUAAGAAGUCCUCACAGUGCCUUUAAGUUACCACAAAAAUAAGUACUUGCACCAAACAUUAAUCAUUUUGUUUUUCAAAGCAACCUACAGUCAGUGAGACCACAAGUGAAGGCCUGUUUAAUUUAAGUGUUUUGACUAAAAAGUAUUGAGAUAACAGGCACUGAUGGUAUCAACGAAUAGUGAAGAAACACUGCAGGCCAAAGGCAGCAUAUCAAGAUAAAGGAAACAUUACCUUAGAGGACUUGUGUAUCAAAGAGUUAUGAGUCAUAGGUUUUCUGGGGAUACAGUGCCUUGUGUUAACAUCAAUGUCCACAAAGUGGGUUUGGACCCCAGGCUAUGAGCAUUUGCUGCAUGUCAUCUCCCACAAUACCUUUCUCUCAUCAGUUUUCCAAACCAAUAAAGGUAAAAUGCACUGAAAAAAAAUAACUCAGAGCCUUAAGGGGAGCAGGACUAGCUGAUUCAGACUUUGUUCUAUUUGGAAUGAAAUUAAACUUACCUUAAUGGUGUCACAGAGGACAACAGUUUCAGUUCAGGCCAUCCAGUGGGUCAUUGAAUAGCAGUCUAUAGUCUAGACCUAAUCAUACAGAUUAUGUAUGAAGUGUGUAAUGACUGAUUUGAUCAAAACUGCACACAAAGUAUUUGAUUUCAAAAGUAGAACUAUUGUAAAAUCUAAACCUCGAGAGUCUCAAACAUGACUUAGAGGGAUAUUCCGGCAUAACUCUAAAAUCUUAAAAAUGAUUAAAAUACGUCAGUGAAAUAUUCAAACACAGUAUUUUAGACAUGCUUCAACCCCCCCUGUUGCAAAAUCAGAAAAAAAUCUGUUGUUCCAUCUCGUCCUUGUGAAGCUAGAGGCUGGAGAUGACCGGAAGAGGCUCAUGCCAUGGUCUGCGGGCACCGGGCGCAAGUGGUUAAGUUAUGGUCAAACACACUGUAACACCAAGUUAGACACCCCCAUUGAGAGAUGAAUGUUGCUUACUGCUUGCUUCUCGAGCUGUAUACCAACUUUAGUAACAACAGCAGGGUAGCAAUACACAGCCAUAGCACUAGCCAUCAAACAUCUUCUUAGCUUUGCCUAAUUUCUUUAGCAAAGAGACUAAACACAACUCACCUACUCUCCUCUAGCAGCCGCUUGUGGGGUGGCCUUGGCAAGUCAAACACCAAGUGCCAGUUUAACCAGAACUUAAAUUUAUGCCCGAAUAGCCCUUUAAGAGUGAACAAAUAAAGCAGAUGUGAGGAUGCUUCUCAAGAUAAACAUUUCUGCCUGCUUUGCUCCACAGUCCAUCCACUACAGGAAUAAUUUCUUUUCAACUCCUCUCCCUAGCAGUUCUAUUAUGGUCUGUAUUACACAACACAUAGUACAAAUGGUUGUUGCAGGCGCUAAUCAACAAGUUAGCCAUCUGAUGUUCUUCUCUGUCUGAUGUUAACUUCACGUUUCAUCUUUACUAUAGUUGCUGUGGCUCCAUUUGUCCAGCAUCCUUCUUCAGCUUGUUGCUUACACAUCAUCUGUUGCAUCUUUGAUGAACAGACGAGUCUUUUAUCCAUGCCUGAACCUGGCUAUUAUCAGACAAACGGUUGUAGUUGGCAAGAUUGGAUGAAAAAGGAGGAGGGCUUUAAUAUCACCUACAGGUGGCAGAAUGUUGAAUAAGUAUAUGGUUAAGGUGCACUUUGCAUAAACACCCAGUUUCUCGCUGUGUUGCUCAGUCUGUCCAGUAAUCAAGUGUUUGACUACAUAAAAAAGCAUCCGCUUUAAAAUGCUCCCACACUGAAGGAGGUUUCUGACAGCCGUAUUAGUUACAUACAGAGAGGCAGCUGCCUUGUAAGCAGCAGUGAUACAUAGCUGACAGGUGAUGUGUGUUAAACUGUACACUGGUGUCGGUGUCAGCAGCUUUGGAAAUGAAAGGCACCUCCACAAAGAUAUUUCUCAGGUGUCUGUCUGAGUAAUUCUUUAUUUGACCCACGCUACCUUCCCGUGCACAGCUUUGUCCCAGUGGCUCUGCUCUCUAAAUAUAAUAAUUACACCUACGUGCAGGAUGAUAAAUGUAGUGAUGUGGUGGGAGUAAACCCCGCAGCAGUGAGUGGUCUUGUUAAAUGGAUCUCAGCCAAGGCCCUCCAACCAGGACAUUAGGGCUUUCUACUUCAUUAUUUCUCUCUAGAACUCCAUAAAAAAUACAAGGCCAGUUGUAUUUCACAAAAAAAAUAAGACACAAACUCAAUGAAAGGCUUCUCUCUCUUUCUACUGUCUCACUGUAGGAGAACUUUGAAGCUCAAAUUAGUUUUCUUCAAAUGCAAUCCCAAUGGAGAAAAAAAUUAAGCAGUGUCAGGCUUUAAAAAAAAAAAAAAAGCCUUUUAAUUUCAUAGGGGAAAAAAAUAAUUAAGUUUCUCUUAACCAAAGAGUUGGAGAAUAUCCUUAAUUCUCAAUAUGAUCACUGACAUGGCUUUAAUAGAUCUAUUGUCGCAAAGAGCUGUGGGCAGGGGGCUCCAAUCAUGCAAUAUGUUGACUAAUUUGUAUGUUUCCAUAUAGCAUUGUGAACACAGGGACUAUUUAUUUAUUCAUUUUAUUUUAUUCUUUAUUGAGAGUUAUACUGACAGGUUAAAAAAAGGGAAUCAUUUACUAUGUUUCUCCUAACCCUGCAUCAUUGAACAGGCUAAACAACACACUUCUUGUUUGACAAACUGUUUGCCAUGCCUCCAUUGUUGAGAAGUCUCACACACUUGUUUUUUUUUUUUUUAUUUGCAGAGAGAGAUUUCACAAGCAACACAGUCUCAUCCCCUCGUAACACUGAAACAUUGCUUGAAGUACUUCUUGCCAAUUUAUUUGUGCUCCAUCUGCUACGGUUUGCUCACUACUUGCAUGUUAGGAAGAGCUGUUUUUGCAUGGAUACACUCGCUCUUUUUUUAAGGAUUGAGCCCUUUUUCUUUCGUGAUUAGGAUCCAAAGCAAACACUAAACACUUAAAAUAAAUAAAUAAAUGGGGUCAAAAUGUUCACAAAGUACCAAAAUAUCACAUCCUAAACCCCAAUUUAAGUGUCAACAUCAAGGGUCUUCCUUCCACGAGUUUCCACCCCUAAUAUUAGAGAUAUUAUUCGCAGCAGCAGCAGCAGCAGCAGCAGCAAUGCAGCACUACAGACUUGCACUGAACUAUCAUCCAGAAUACAGUUUACACAUCAAAAACUAUAAAUAACUCUUGAAUAAGAGGUGCAAUCCUCCUGUUGUCCAACAAAAAUUGUGCAAUAUUUACAGACAGGAGGCUGUGAAACUAAACACCAUCCAGGCACAUACUCAACAUACUUGAUACUGUGAAAUUACCUGUUGAAAGGAGAAUAUUGCCACUGUGGGAACUGUGCAGAGAGUGAUUUUUUUCCAUUUGAAAUCUGAUUUUCACACUAUCAGAGUCUAUAUAUAACACAGAGGAAAUUUACUCUUAAAUGUAAAUAAUACUGGAGAGUCAGCUGGCCUUCCUGUUGGAGUGUGCAUCAAGUGUAGCUUUGGUUCGCCCUCCAUACAGUUGUGACCUCACUCAUUGAAAACAGCAAAUCAUAAAAAAUAUCACAAGUGAACUAUAAUGGUAUGGUCCGGCGGUCACAUGACCCCCAAAAGCGUGCCUCCUUGCGCUAUUUACUGUGGGACCUGGAAGUGCCCCGGUUUGGCUCGGAAAAUGGCAGCAGGUAAGUGGACGAAAGUGUAUUUGGCGUGUGGUUGUCAAGUGUGCACCUUCAAACGCCCAAAGUGGGGACAAGAGAGAGUAGUUAGAAAGGGAAACGGUUGGUUGGAGUGCAGGACUGCGGGACACAGGUGCUGGGAAACAGUUUGACGGAGCCAGGCGUCGCGGGGAACGAGUUCGCUCCGUGCGCAUUCCCGGCACCGACACCGCGAGAAGAGAGACACGUGCCAGUAGGGGAUUGACGGGGCGUUUAACGACCUUCGUCACUUUAA